Acyrthosiphon pisum (pea aphid) is the source of this 412-nucleotide long non-coding RNA. RefSeq lists it as uncharacterized. NCBI's taxonomy places the organism in Eukaryota, Metazoa, Arthropoda, Insecta, Hemiptera, Aphididae. The record is from RefSeq and is a predicted model, not a curated record. The transcript has 3 exons.
UGCCUAGUACCAUAGGCGUGCGCAGCCCGUUGUGGCAGAGUAGGCCAAUAAUACUUGAAACAAAUUAUUUUAUGUGUUACAUAGUUAUCUAUAAAAUUACAUCCAUUCACUCACCGGUCAUCACCCACUGUUCAAAUUUUAAGAGAAGAGAUGAUAAGCUUAAUAUGUGACAUAGCCUGCGAUGCCAUGUAGUAUUGCCUCAGCAUGUGGCACAACCAGACUUUUGGGGGCUCUAAAGUCAAAUAUAAAAUGGGGCCCCCUAGCAAAAAAUGUAAAUGGUCUUAAACAAUUAAGGGUACAUGGUAUACCGCUUCCUCCCCACCUAUAAGGUUGGCUCGAAAAUGCAUGACCAAUUUGGCUGAUUCUUUUUAUGAUGUGUUCGCAAUUAAUAAAGGUUAAUAUGAAAAUUUAA